RNAcentral lists this ribosomal RNA (465 nucleotides) under uncultured bacterium. RNAcentral describes it as "partial 16S ribosomal RNA". It matches the Rfam family "Bacterial small subunit ribosomal RNA", at positions 28 to 507 of the family's 1533-position model. The record is from RNAcentral.
GACGAACGCUGGCGGCGUGCUUAACACAUGCAAGUCGAACGGAAAGGCCCCUUCGGGGGUACUCGAGUGGCGAACGGGUGAGUAACACGUGAGUAACCUGCCCUUGACUUCGGGAUAACUUCAGGAAACUGGGGCUAAUACCGGAUAGGAAUCCUUGCUGCAUGGUGGGGGUUGGAAAGCUUCGGCGGUUUUGGAUGGACUCGCGGCUUAUCAGCUUGUUGGUGGGGUAGUGGCUUACCAAGGCUUUGACGGGUAGCCGGCCUGAGAGGGCGACCGGCCACAUUGGGACUGAGAUACGGCCCAGACUCCUACGGGAGGCAGCAGUGGGGAAGAUUGCACAAUGGGCGGAAGCCUGAUGCAGCAACGCCGCGUGCGGGAUGACGGCCUUCGGGUUGUAAACCGCUUUCAGCAGGGGCGAAGCUUGUGGUGACGGUACCUGCAGAAGAAGCACCGGCUAACUACGUG